This 352-nucleotide long non-coding RNA is filed under the name Pongo abelii (Sumatran orangutan). Its description in RNAcentral is "lincRNA". Lineage: Eukaryota; Metazoa; Chordata; Mammalia; Primates; Hominidae. The record is from RNAcentral.
CUUUUCAAAUAAGAGACCUGGGGGAUUUUAGAACAGGGUUUUCAAGGUAAUGGAGGAAGAGAAUCUUCUUUGGACUUCUUUUUGCUUCAGAUGUGGAGAAGGCAACUUCCCGGAGUCUCUACCAGUGAGAAGGCUACAGAAUCAUGGGUAGAUAAGGUGUCGCUCUGUGGCCAUAGCUCACUGCAGCCUCAAAUUCCUGCGCUCAAGUAAUCCUCCCACCUCAGCUUCCCAAGUAGAUGGGACUACAGCUCCAAAUAACCCCGUGAUUUUGGAUGAUUGAUUAUGGGAAUGCUGCUUUCACUGUACAUCCAAGCUCUCCUGGCCUCAGCAGAUAAGUAUAUGAGAGCACAGU